This is a non-coding RNA of Podarcis lilfordi (Lilford's wall lizard), 6550 nucleotides long. Lineage: Eukaryota; Metazoa; Chordata; Lepidosauria; Squamata; Lacertidae. The record is from the annotation of a GenBank genome assembly.
AUCUACUGUUUCAUCUUAGGUGGUAAAACAGGACGGACCGCCCCUUCUUCUCCUGAUGGGAUUCAAUGACAUACCAGCAAAUUCAGGUUGUGCAGUUAUAGCUGAUGUGAAGCUUUUGUGCAACAAACUCACUUCUCUAAAAGAUUAGGCUUUUGCAGUAAGGAAGGUGAUGGGGAAAAGAAAUGGAAAGUGUGGGGAAAUGCUUCCUUUAAAUCAAUGUCAUCUAGCCUCAGGGCCCCCCGGAGACAUUUUGAUGCCCGAUGCAGCCCCCACUGUGCUGCUGCCGUGCCCUCAUUUCCCCUCCUGGUGGUGCAGCUCUGCAGGGGCUUUUCCUUGAGGAGGACCCUUGCAGAACCUUGCCACAAUUGGAGGUGAGGACUCAAGACUACUUAGAUGGCGCCCUGAGGUGCCAUCCAGUACCAGUGUGUAAGCAAGCCACUGCUGCGAGUAAUGAGGAGGCAGUUGUAAGAAGUGUGUCUUGCCCUGCUCCCCCUUCCCUUCCUCCUCCUUGCUUUCACAGCCUGCUCUCCUGCCCUCUCCAAACAUCUCAGCAAUGGCAAGAGUGAAGAGAUGAAGCUACACUCUCUUCUUGAUUUGCAUUCUCCCUCUUUGAAAGCUUGUGUUUUGGCUUCAGAAGCUAUCCCCCAGAUGUCUUUAAAAAGCCCACAAGCAGGAGAUGAAGGCAACUGUCCUCUUCCUCUGCCAUUCCCUGGCAAUUAAUACCCAAGUAACAUGUUGUUUCUGAACCUGAAGGCUGCUUUUGGCCAUUGUGACUAGUAGCUAUUGAUAGACCAUGAAUUGUUCUAAUUCCCUUAAAAAAAUUCCUAAACUGGUUUCCAUCAGCAACUCUCAUGGCAGUUAAUUCUAUAGACCUCUCUGAAUUUUGCAAUGCAGUUCUUCUUCCAAGCACUGGGUACAAAAACAUGUACAUAAAAAUGAACAUUUUCAUGAAAACAGUCUCUGAAUUGCAUUAUAUUUCAGGGGAAAUGCUUGCAAAAAUGUGUAAGUUUGCAUUAAAAUCAUGAAUCUUCAAUACGAUUCCUUUUUUCUCUAUUAAAGGCAGAUGGGCUGCACAAAUGUAUAGAACUGCAGUUAAGAAUGGAAAAAUGAGAAACUGAGACAACUGAAAUUGAGAGAUUUUGUUGAUCCCAACUCCAUCCCCCUGAUCAUUUUGGUUGCUUUUUAACGUGCUGUUGCCCUAGGAAGGUCCCCACCCCCACCCCCAGGGCUUAAGUUAGCAUGACAGACAGGGUGUCAGUGUGCAUUUACCUGCUGUAUUAGAAUGAAAGGCUAACUUGAUUUUAACCUGAGAGUCAAAUGGCUUGGUAUUCCUGUUUCCUCUCCCGGACAUCCAUCAACUUGAUGCAUGCUCAUAAAAUAAAGAAAGGUUCCAGUCCAGUGUGACAGCAGUGAGCAUGUGUGCAGGAGAGAGGAGAACCGGCUUGUGCCACAGUAUCCCUUUAAACCCACCUGCUUGUCCACCAAUGACAACCCCAGCACUGACAUUUCCAAUCUCUUUUCUUUCAUGCCACAUUCAUGGAAAAGAGACCUGCUGUAUUUUGAGGAAGCUCUGGAAUCCCGCGGGAGAAGGAUCUCUCGAGCAGUGUGGCAAGCUGCCAAGUACAGCUUGUUCUGAAAUGCACUCUCUCUUAGAAGUUGCAUUGUCAACUGAGACACAAUGUCCGUUUAAUGGGAGGUAGUUCGGACUCUUGAUUAGCUGAGUUGUUACUUAGCAGCAUUUCCUCUGGGGCACAAUCUCUCUCCUGCUACUGCUGGGCUCUGCUGCUUCUUUCCUCCCCACUUUGGCAUUAGGUUAUUGGACUGUGGGGCAGACCAGUCAAGAGGGUAGAGGACACAUGGAAAGACUUUGUGCCCUUCCAUUGCCUGGGGAGGCUUGAGCAGAUCUCCCUUGGCCCAUUCCUUUAUCAUUCCACAGGUCCCCUUUGCCUUGUAUUCUGCUCCUCUGGAAUUGCAAUGUAUUUAUUUGCAAAGGUUAAAUUCCACCUAUCUUUCAAGUUCAGGACAAUACAUAUAGUCCUCCCCUUUCCCGGUUUAGUCUCACAACAACCUUUUUGAGACAGGUUAGGCUAAGAGAUAGUGACUGGCCCCAAGUCUCCCAGUGAGCUGCAUGGCUGCGUGCAGACUUGAACCUAGAUCUCCCCCACCCUAAUCUAGCACUAUUACUGCUACAACAUGCUGGUGUAGCUGAAAUAAUUUCUUAAACUAAUUCUGGAAUCAGACCAUUGGACUAUCUAGCUCAGCAUUGUCUAUAUUGACUGGCAACAGCCCUCUGGAAUUUCAGGCAUGAUUCUCUACCCUACCUUGAAAUGCCUAGGAUUGAACCCGGGACCUUCUGAAUUCAAGGCAGAUGCUCCACCACUGAGCCCUUUCCCAAACAUUUAGCACUGCAACAUUUGGUUGCAGGUCUCAUUUCUAAACUAUAAUUCCCAUGUAAGCAAAACAUCAUUUGUGGAGCGGCCAUUUUCUGACAUGUGGAUGCUAACUGUCACACACACAAGUUGAUUGGCAAUUCUUUACCAUCAAUAUCAAUAAAUGAUCCACUUCAGCUUUGUCAGGGCUAGCUAUUAAAAUUCUGAUCUGGAGUCGAGUUUCACUUGCAACAUUACUGACUUUACAACAUAAAGUCAGGACAUGUUCCACUAUAGUAUCUGAAUGUGGCCCAUUUUUUAGAGGAGAAGGUAGAACAUAAUGUACCAGAAGGUAUUUUAAAGGAUCUAGUUGGCAUGGAAACUGAAUUUUUUCCUUCACAACCUCUUCCUGAACUAUCCAAUGUAACAUUAAGUUUUGAUUUGAAACAGCCCUGUGAGUAAUCCAGCUAGAGAGGUGGAAGUAAGAAAGUGGUUGUGGGGUGUGUGUGUGUGUGUGUGUGUGUGUGUAUGCGCACACACAAACAAUUGCCUUUAUUUUGCUAGCUUAUAAACAUGUUUUACCAGUCUUGACAGGAUUAUGGAGCCCAUUAAUCUAUGAAAGAGUGACAUGCAUUUUGUUCUAGUUCAUGCGUCAGUUCUUCAUUAAUUAAGUUCUGACUACGCAAUAUUUGUUCCUGAUUAAAAUAUAAAUAAAACAACAGAGAUAGAUAACUUUUUUUAAAAAAAUGUGUGAAUACUGAGCCUACACUGGCACCAUAAAUUUAUCUGGCGACAGCAGCCUAUCUAUUCUAUAUUCCCCUACCUGUUUUCCUCCAGAUGUUUCAUAUCUGCAUCUGGCUGUUCAUUGUGAGAGCAGGACACUGGACUAUAUGGUCCAAUUUGGUCUGAUCCACCAGGCCUCUUUUUAUGUCUUUAUGUUGCCAACAACCCCAGUUAGACUGGGGCUAAUGAGAGCUGUAGUCCAACAUCUGGAGUUUAUAUUAGGGAUGCUAAAAACAACAACACUUCACAUGUUUAAUACCUACUGGUCCCACCCCUCAUUGCUACAUGCAGUAAGCUACACCCACUGCACACCUGGAUUGUGUGAAGUGACCAUAUGCACAUACGCUCCUGAGCAUUUGGGGUUCCUUUACACAAAUGGGAAAUUGGAGACCAUCAGGAACCCUCCUCAUACAUGCACAGGAGCUCUCUCUGCACACACAGGUUCACACACAUAUGGCCCCACCAAAUGGCAGUGUCUGUAUAACAUGAGCAUGGAGGGAGCAUGGGCAGCACAUGCAAACACACUGCCCUUUCCCGUGUUUGUAAAUGUGGUGUGCAGUGCAAAUGUGGUGUGCCAUGCAAGAGCAAGAACGAGACUGAGAGACUUCCUAUUGUAAAUCUUAAAUUAUUGUUCCAAUCUACAUUACAAUUUACACAUUGGGGGAGCCAGCCCCCAAAAAUGUUGCUGCCUGAGAAGAAGGAUAAGAUGGUGCCCCCUCCCAAUUCUACAUCCAGAAUCAGAAAGGAGUGGCAGGUGAAUCUUAUUUCAGCACUGCUGAUUGAACAGCAUUCUCCAUUGUACCAGAAACAGUAGGGCAGUUUAGGAAGUUUAGAGCAGACCAGCCUAGGGAACUCUGACUAGAUAGAGGACUGUUGCUGUGUCCCCUACCCUCAUUCUUGGCCUCUCAAUACAUCUUUUUUAUUGUGCAUUCAUGAUUAUUUGUGCUCCUGAUGUUUUCAGGGCAGUCAUACACAAUCCCUCUUUCAGUAAUAUUUGCACUUGUUUAGGAGUGGUCACGUUGCUUCAUAUCCAUUUGGUGCAUGUCCUCCAACUUCCUGCUGAAAUCCCCUAACUUUUCAUACCAAGCACGAGCUGUAUUUCUACUGGGUGAAUAUAAGCCACGAGGGGGUCCUUGGAGUGACCCCCUACUGCAUCUCUUAGCUUCCUCUCUGCCUCUUGUCCUUCUCUUUUACCCCUCUGCUGGCUGCCUGAUGGCAGAGGAACUCAAAGAAGGGCCUCAAGAGUAGCAGGGCAGGUUCGUAUUGCAGGGAGGGAGCUGGGGUGCAUGUGGGUAAACCAAUUUGCACAUCCUUAGGCUAUGUCUAGGUUGAGAAUGAGUGCUGAAAAGUCCAGCCAAAAGUUUCAUGGAAGCAUAGGUUGCAAUUCUAUUUAUUAUUGUUAGCCGCCCUGAGCCCGGCUUCGGCUGGGGAGGGCGGGAUAUGAAUUAAAAUUUAUUAAUUUAUUAUUUAUUAUAUGCACUUUACCUGGAAGUAAGCCCCUUGAGCAUAGUGGAACCUGCUUCUGAGUAAAUGUGUACAGGUCUGUAUUGCACAACACAGCUCAGCAGGAAGCUUCAUGGCUAGAUGAGCCAUUUGGUGUUAGUUUUAUUAUCCACCCAAACACUGACUAGCUUUGACUAAAGGGCACCAUUUCAUUCUCAUGCUAUUUAUGUGCAUUGGGAAGAUGAUUUUUGACAGGUUCUCUGUUGUGGUCCAACUGUAAGAGAUAAGCAGGUAAACUGGUUUUAGAAACAGCCAUAUAACUUCUGGCCAUAUUCUGCAACUGUUUGCUUUACAAAACUCAGUGAAAAGCUUCCCCCUUCCUUUCAAAAUACCAGAUGAAUUUAUUCAACAGCAUUUCAGUAUGAAUUUUCCCCUAAUAAACAAACCUUUGUAUGCAAUGUUGCCUAAUAUACAUGUUUUUGCGAAGUAUAUUUCCUGUAACAUUUAUAUUUCCCCUAACAUAAUGCAUUUUGUAUAUUAUUUUCAUUAAUAUAUACAUUUUAUGCACAGUUUACCUUACUACGUGCAUUUUUGUAAACAUUAAAUGACAUUGCAAAAUUUGGAGAAGUACAGAUUUCAAAAAAUGACUGUGUUUCAGUUCACACCCUGCUCCAAAAAAGUGUGAGGUAGAUUCAACUAUUGUGUUAGCGUGUCUGCUUUGCAUGGAGAAGUCUCCAAUCCCUGGUAUCUCCAGUUAGGACCAGGAGUGCCUCCUCCCUGGAAUCCUGGAAAACCGCUGCUAGUCUAUGUAAACAGUAAUGAACUAGAUCAGGGUUAAGGACUCACCUUAUUUCUGUCAUCUUAAGUUCUUUUAAGUUGUUUUUUAUAGUGUGAAAUAUGUACUAAUAUUGUGUUUCAAUAGUUGUAACACACACUAGAACCUUGGGUUGAGGGGUGGAUAAUAAAUUGUAGUAGUAAUAAUAAUAUUGGUGUGAGAGUAUUGUUUAUCUGGCUUGAUUUGACAAAAACUGCUUGCGAACUUUGUUCCUGUUGAUAUUGGUGUUAAAAUCUUUUAAGUUCUGCUCCCUCUUGAGCACAAAGCUGCUCUGAUUUCACAGAGGCAUCACAGCAAUGGAGGCAACAGCAUUUAAGGUUGCUGUGACCAUUUUCCCUGAAAAAGUUCAACUGGACAGCUAAUUUGAUGAGACUAGAUCACUGAACGUACUUCCAAGCUAAGUGCUCGAAAGAAACCAAAUCAUUUGAAAUGUUACAAAAUGAUAACUUUCUCUCUCUCUCCCACCUCCCUCAUUUCAAAUUCUAGCAAAACAUGUAUAGAUAUGAAUAGUCAAGUAAUAGCUGAAAGAUUAGUCAGGUCAUUUUUCGUUUCCUGUCAUUAUCAUUAGUAAGAUUUAGUCAUUCUCUCUUGUGUCACAGUGACAUUUUAGUUUUCAAGGCUCUAUAGAGACAACCGGCAUGAAAUCGUUCUGUCGAGUAGUUAAGAGCUGCCUUUGCCAGCCUGGCUCCUGCCAGGUGUUUUGGAUUAGAGCUCAUUUCAGUGCCAUCCAACAAGGCUGUACGAUAGUGGGGCUGAUGGGAUAUGUCGUCCAAAAGCAUAUGGAGGACACCAGUUUGGCAAAAUCUGGUUUAGAGAGUUAAAAAACCAAGAUGGGAAUGAACAGUGAUGGCCCAGUUACUGUAACAGCAUGUCUGCAUGCGAACAAAUUUGAGGAACAGGUCCACCCGGCAUACUGUCCAGUGCACACUUAUACCUCACCAUUGCACUAUGCUUUGGUAUACAACACGUUGGUGGUGGUGGUGGUGGUGGUGGUGUCGUCAGCUUGUUCCAUUCACUAGACACUUUUAUGCUACAGCAACUCAAAGUGACUAACAAUAUUUUAAGUAAACUAACACAUACAAACAUUAAAACCAACAUUUAAAAAAUCUAAAAGACCAUU